GGACCAAGGAGUCUAGCAUGUGCGCAAGUCAUUGGGUUAUAAACCUAAAGGCGAAAUGAAAGUGAAUUAAAUUUUUGAUACGUUUACGUUGACGAAAGGCAGGGAUGAUGGGCCGUCCUACAGUGGCGGCCUCGCAGUCCCGGGGCGUCUCGCGCUCACUGAGGCGGGGCGCACCUAGAGCGUGCACGCUGGGACCCGAAAGAUGGUGAACUAUGCGUGGUCAGGACGAAGUCAGGGGAAACCCUGAUGGAGGUCCGUAGCGAUUCUGACGUGCAAAUCGAUCGUAAGAACUGUGUAUAGGGGCGAAAGACCAAUCGAACCAUCUAGUAGCUGGUUCCCCCCGAAGUUUCCCUCAGGAUAGCUGGCACUCGGGGGCAUAAGAUUUUUCGAUUUACUAUUGUAUUUAUUUUUAAACAUGAGUAUGAGCAUAACGUAGAUAGAGAAACGGAUGAGUCUCAUCCGGUAAAGCGAAUGAUUAGAGGCCUUGGGGCCGAAACGGUUUCAACCUAUUCUCAAACUUUAAAUGGGUGAGAUCUUUGGCUUGCUUGAACGAAGCCGGGGAUGGGAUCUAUGAGUGCCAAGUGGGCCACUUUUGGUAAGCAGAACUGGCGCUGUGGGAUGAACCAAACGUUGAGUUAAAGCGCCUAAAUCGACGCUCAUGGGACACCAUGAAAGGCGUUGGUAACUUAAGACAGCAGGGCGGUGGCCAUGGAAGUCGGA
This 720-nucleotide ribosomal RNA is filed under the name Peltodytes quadratus. Its description in RNAcentral is "eukaryotic LSU rRNA". It matches the Rfam family "Eukaryotic large subunit ribosomal RNA", at positions 663 to 1265 of the family's 3401-position model. Lineage: Eukaryota; Metazoa; Arthropoda; Insecta; Coleoptera; Haliplidae. The record is from RNAcentral.